AACGAACGCUGGCGGCAUGCCUAACACAUGCAAGUCGAACGAGACCUUCGGGUCUAGUGGCGCACGGGUGCGUAACGCGUGGGAACCUGCCCUUAGGUUCGGAAUAACUCCCCGAAAGGGGUGCUAAUAACGGAUAAUGUCUUCGGACCAAAGAUUUAUCGCCUUUGGAUGGGCCCGCGUUGGAUUCGCUAGUUGGUAGGGUAAAAGCCUACCAAGGCGACGAUCCAUAGCUGGUCUGAGAGGAUGAUCAGCCACACUGGGACUGAGACACGGCCCAGACUCCUACGGGAGGCAGCAGUGGGGAAUAUUGGACAAUGGGCGAAAGCCUGAUCCAGCAAUGCCGCGUGAGUGAUGAAGGCCUUAGGGUUGUAAAGCUCUUUUACCCGGGAUGAUAAUGACAGUACCGGGAGAAUAAGCUCCGGCUAACUCCGUG
Molecule: ribosomal RNA, 433 nt
Filed under: uncultured bacterium
Lineage: Bacteria
Description: partial 16S ribosomal RNA
Rfam family: Bacterial small subunit ribosomal RNA
Source: RNAcentral